RNAcentral lists this ribosomal RNA (253 nucleotides) under uncultured bacterium. Its description in RNAcentral is "partial 16S ribosomal RNA". It matches the Rfam family "Bacterial small subunit ribosomal RNA", at positions 524 to 776 of the family's 1533-position model. The record is from RNAcentral.
UACGUAGGGGGCAAGCGUUGUCCGGAAUCAUUGGGCGUAAAGAGCGUGUAGGCGGCCCGAUAAGUCCGCUGUGAAAGUCCAGGGCUCAACCCUGGAAUGCCGGUGGAUACUGUCGGGCUCGAAUCCGGAAGAGGUGAGUGGAACUGCGAGUGUAGAGGUGAAAUUCGUAGAUAUUCGCAAGAACACCAGUGGCGAAGGCGGCUCACUGGUCCGGUUCUGACGCUGAGGCGCGAAAGCGUGGGGAGCAAACAGG